AGUGAACGCUGGCGGCAGGCCUAAUACAUGCAAGUCGAACGGCAGCACAGCAGAGCUUGCUCUGUGGGUGGCGAGUGGCGGACGGGUGAGGAAUACAUGGGAAUCUGCCCAGUCGUGGGGGAUAACGUAUGGAAACGUACGCUAAUACCGCAUGCGCCCUACGGGGGAAAGCCGGGGACCGCAAGGCCUGGCGCAAUUGGAUGAGCCCAUGUUCGAUUAGCUAGUUGGCGGGGUAAAGGCCCACCAAGGCGACGAUCGAUAGCUGGUCUGAGAGGAUGAUCAGCCACACUGGAACUGAGACACGGUCCAGACUCCUACGGGAGGCAGCAGUAGGGAAUAUUGGACAAUGGGGGCAACCCUGAUCCAGCCAUGCCGCGUGAGUGAAGAAGGCCCUCGGGUUGUAAAGCUCUUUUGUCCGGAAAGAAAAGCAAUCGGUCAAUACCCGGUUGUCUGACGGUACCGGAAGAAUAAGCACCGGCUAACUUCGUGCC
Molecule: ribosomal RNA, 491 nt
Filed under: uncultured bacterium
Lineage: Bacteria
Description: bacterial SSU rRNA
Rfam family: Bacterial small subunit ribosomal RNA
Source: RNAcentral